UGCAGCGACGCCGCGUGAGGGAUGACGGCCUUCGGGUUGUAAACCUCUUUCAGCAGGGAAGAAGCGGAAGUGACGGUACCUGCAGAAGAAGCGCCGGCUAACUACGUGCCAGCAGCCGCGGUAAUACGUAGGGCGCAAGCGUUGUCCGGAAUUAUUGGGCGUAAAGAGCUCGUAGGCGGUCUGUCGCGUCUGCUGUGAAAGCCCGGGGCUCAACCCCGGGUCUGCAGUGGGUACGGGCAGACUAGAGUGCAGUAGGGGAGACUGGAAUUCCUGGUGUAGCGGUGAAAUGCGCAGAUAUCAGGAGGAACACCGAUGGCGAAGGCAGGUCUCUGGGCUGUUACUGACGCUGAGGAGCGAAAGCAUGGGGAGCGAACAGGAUUAGAUACCCUGGUAGUCCAUGCCGUAAACGUUGGGCACUAGGUGUGGGGGGCAUUCCACGUUCUCCGCGCCGUAGCUAACGCAUUAAGUGCCCCGCCUGGGGAGUACGGCCGCAAGGCUAAAACUCAAAGGAA
Molecule: ribosomal RNA, 512 nt
Filed under: Micrococcaceae MN04-09
Lineage: Bacteria; Bacillati; Actinomycetota; Actinomycetes; Micrococcales; Micrococcaceae
Description: bacterial SSU rRNA
Rfam family: Bacterial small subunit ribosomal RNA
Source: RNAcentral